AAUACUGGGGAAAUAAAUAUAGAGUACCGAUAUUGAGAUAAAAAGUAAAGAAUACAAAAAUAAAGACUCCAUCCAAACUCUCAUCUUUGUUCAAAAUACACAUUACAAUAUACACUAUUCUAAAUUAUUACGGAUAAUAUCCUCUUAAUAAAUUUGAGAAUGGAAAUGGGGUAUGUAUCUUUCAUUAAAAGAAACAAUCUUAAUGACACAUUUUCAAAAUGCAUUUACUGAAGAAUGCUGCAAGUCUUUAAGUUGUCAGCUUAUUAUUUGUAACCCUACUCUGGUAAUGCGGUUAUAUUUGUAAUACAUGUAUUUUAGUUUUCUAUUGCUGUCAAAUAUAAUGCUGUUAUAUUUGUUAUACAUGUACCAUCAAGCAAAACAAUAAAUGAGAAACAUUGAAUAACUGUGUUUAUAUAUUUUUUUAAU
This 426-nucleotide long non-coding RNA is filed under the name Mytilus galloprovincialis (Mediterranean mussel). Lineage: Eukaryota; Metazoa; Mollusca; Bivalvia; Mytilida; Mytilidae. The record is from RNAcentral.